Molecule: transfer RNA, 73 nt
Filed under: Ovis aries (sheep)
Lineage: Eukaryota; Metazoa; Chordata; Mammalia; Artiodactyla; Bovidae
Rfam family: tRNA
About the family: Transfer RNA (tRNA) molecules are approximately 80 nucleotides in length. Their secondary structure includes four short double-helical elements and three loops (D, anti-codon, and T loops).
Source: Rfam by way of RNAcentral
UCACUGGUGGUCCAGAGGUUAGGACUCCCUGCUUCCAAGGCAGGCGGCACAGAUUCAAUCCCUGGUCAGGGAA